UUUAGAGCUUUAUAAUAAGGAUUUUCAUAUGCCUUUAGUUAGAGACAAUAUCAAGUUGUCUAUGUGUUUACUUCGAUUGCACUUGAUUGUGCACUUUAAUAUUUUGAGCGUUAUUUUCAUUUUUAUAAUUGUUAGGAUGAACCCGAAAAUUCUUUAAUAGGCUCCCUAGCAUUUUAGUUGGCAUGUAAUCAAGUUUAGGUACCAAAAGACCAUUAAUUUUAAAACUAAUGUAAUCAAG
Molecule: long non-coding RNA, 238 nt
Filed under: Eucalyptus grandis
Lineage: Eukaryota; Viridiplantae; Streptophyta; Magnoliopsida; Myrtales; Myrtaceae
Description: long non-coding RNA (EGRA_LNC007863)
Source: RNAcentral